This 367-nucleotide unclassified non-coding RNA is filed under the name uncultured Microglossum. RNAcentral's name for it is "sequence contains ITS2". The stretch from base 1 to 154 matches the Rfam family "5.8S ribosomal RNA". The record is from RNAcentral. Lineage: Eukaryota; Fungi; Ascomycota; Leotiomycetes; Myxotrichaceae.
AACUUUUGGCAAUGGAUCUCUUGGUUCUGGCAUCGAUGAAGAACGCAGCGAAAUGCGAUAAGUAAUGUGAAUUGCAGAAUUCAGCGAAUCAUCGAAUCUUUGAACGCACAUUGCACCCUCUGGCAUUCCGGGGGGUAUGCCUGUUCGAGCGUCAUUACAACCCACAAGCCUUGCUUGGUGUUGGGUGCCACCUGUCACAGGGUGCACCUCAAAAUCAGUGGCGGUGCGGCCUGGCUUCAAGCGUAGUAACUCUUCUCGCUCCGGAGCCCAGGCGGCAUACCUACCAACAACCUCAAACACAUCAAAGGUUGACCUCGGAUCAGGUAGGGAUACCCGCUGAAUUUAAGCAUAUCAAUAAGCGGAGGCU